This 585-nucleotide unclassified non-coding RNA is filed under the name Leishmania donovani. RNAcentral's name for it is "gene:unknown". The record is from RNAcentral. Lineage: Eukaryota; Euglenozoa; Kinetoplastea; Trypanosomatida; Trypanosomatidae.
CCCUGAUGGUGCCAGCCACCGCACCGCGGUAUCAGGGUCCAGUGCCCCCACUCAGUGGGGAGCCCAAGAGCCUGCAUCCUGUCCUCGGGUACGGGGGUGCGGACUCUUGGUGCCAGCGGACAGCUCUGUGCUGACACGGUGCGGGGGAGACGUGCGGUCGUGAUCACAUUUGUAUCAGCUCACUACGCAUCGUGCCGACGACCCAGCACGUAGUGGAAGAAGCGAUCCGUACCCAUCACCCCCUCCCCUACAGCGCAUGUGUGCGAAGCGCGUGGCACCUGCUGCAUCCGGCCGGGUGGGCCGAUGAGGUGCAGAUGCCGGCAGCAUGACGAGAGCACCCUCGAGCUGCACCACCGGGUCCUCCAGACUCCCAUGUGAAGAGCCUCCACACCAUAGUGUGGCAUGCCGCGGCUUGAAGCGACUGAGAGCGCGAAGCAAGGCACACGGGCAGGGUGCGCAGGGUCUCAGAAGGCCCUGACCUGAGGCUGGCCAACUUCCUCUCUGCGCCCAUCCAGCAUGCGAGUAACCCCCCCCUCCCUGCCUACCACCCGCACGGCCGACGCCACCGCUUGUGCCCUCGAGCAG